AAAUAGUACUUUGCAGAGAGAGUUAACAGGGCGUGAAACCGUUAAUUGGCAAACGAAUCGGAGCCACGAAGUCGUUUCGCUGAGCCGGGUUGAGUUCAGCCUGGGACCUAGGUCCCAGGUGUAUUCUUGGCCCAGCCGUUGUAAGCGUACACUGCAACCAGUUAGACGAUUGGGGAUGGGCCCAGCUGGGGUUAGUAGUAGCGUGUUGCAUUUCGGUGCAUCAUGUUGCUGGGCCCCAGCAAGUGAACUAUCCCCAAAUACUGACUGGCAAAAUGAAAAUCGCGAAAGCGUUUCACACAAUGCGGCCAGGCACAUGGGUGCCUACGUAGCCGACCAUAGGGUUUAAGCUCGGCAUUCUUGAAUUUAGGCUUGCUCGCUACCAAUGGGGCAACUCUUGGUGCUUGUACAGUUUCUAUCUAAUCGGGUGUUGACUUGAUCCUGUGUCGUUCGGUUGCGCUAUGAUAGGGCGCCUAUGCGACCUGGUUUGCAAUUAUUGGCAGUGAGUAGGUCGGCUUUCCGAACGACCCGUCUUGAAACACGGACCAAGGAGUCUAAUUAGGCAUCAAGUCGAUCGGUUGACCCGUGUUUAAACACGGACCAAGGAGUCAUAAGUCAAGUAUUUGAGCUCAGUAAGGAAAUACGAAGUCUUUUGAUGGCAGUAUCACCCGGCGUCGACGUUUUAACUGAAAUGAGAGGUAAAGCACUUAUGAUGGGACCCGAAAGAUGGUGAUGCCUGAAUAGGGUGAAGCCAGAGGAAACUCUGGUGGAGGCUCWAGCUGACGUGCAAAUCGAUCGUCAAAUUGGGUAUAGGGGCGAAAGACUAAUCGAACCAUC
This 834-nucleotide ribosomal RNA is filed under the name Diptilomiopus sp. SC5 2. RNAcentral describes it as "partial large subunit ribosomal RNA". The record is from RNAcentral. Lineage: Eukaryota; Metazoa; Arthropoda; Arachnida; Trombidiformes; Diptilomiopidae.